RNAcentral lists this RNase P RNA (355 nucleotides) under Dehalococcoidia bacterium. RNAcentral's name for it is "RNase P RNA component class A". It matches the Rfam family "Bacterial RNase P class A". From Rfam's summary of the family: Ribonuclease P (RNase P) is a ubiquitous endoribonuclease, found in archaea, bacteria and eukarya as well as chloroplasts and mitochondria. Its best characterised activity is the generation of mature 5'-ends of tRNAs by cleaving the 5'-leader elements of precursor-tRNAs. Cellular RNase Ps are ribonucleoproteins. The record is from RNAcentral. Lineage: Bacteria; Bacillati; Chloroflexota; Dehalococcoidia.
CAAGUAAACCGGGUGACCGCCCCCCUUCUUUAGAAGAGGGGAGGAAAGUCCGAGCUCCGCCGGGCAGGGUGCUGGGUAACGCCCAGGAGGGGUGACCCUACGGAAAGUGCCACAGAAACACACCGCCCCUAACGGGGCAAGGGUGAAAUGGUGAGGUAAGAGCUCACCAGCGGCUGGGUGACCAGUCGGCUGGGCAAACCCCAUCCGGAGCAAGACCAAAUAGGGGGACAUAGGGACGCUCGGCCUGUCCCUGGGUUGGUCGCUUGACCCUGGUGGUAACAUCAGGGCUAGAUAGAUGGUCACCGUCCUUCAGCAAUGAAGGAUACAGAACUCGGCUUACAGGUUUACUUGGCCU